AUUUCGUGAUAAGGGCACUUCCAUAAUAAUUCUUUAUACCUUUCCCAUGCUUUGUACAAGGACUCAUCAGCCAUUUUUUGGAAAGUGGUGAUCUCGUUUCUCAACUU
Gossypium raimondii (Peruvian cotton) is the source of this 107-nucleotide small nucleolar RNA. It matches the Rfam family "Plant small nucleolar RNA R71". From Rfam's summary of the family: R71 is a member of the C/D box family of snoRNAs containing the C (UGAUGA) and D (CUGA) box motifs. The record is from Rfam. Lineage: Eukaryota; Viridiplantae; Streptophyta; Magnoliopsida; Malvales; Malvaceae.